This 253-nucleotide ribosomal RNA is filed under the name uncultured bacterium. Its description in RNAcentral is "partial 16S ribosomal RNA". It matches the Rfam family "Bacterial small subunit ribosomal RNA", at positions 524 to 776 of the family's 1533-position model. The record is from RNAcentral.
UACGUAGGUGGCAAGCGUUGUCCGGAUUUAUUGGGUUUAAAGGGUGCGUAGGCGGCCCUGUAAGUCAGUGCUGAAAUAUCCCGGCUUAACCGGGAGGGUGGCAUUGAUACUGCAGGGCUUGAGUGAAGUCGAGGUAGGCGGAAUUGACGGUGUAGCGGUGAAAUGCUUAGAUAUCGUCAAGAACACUGAUAGUGAAGACAGCUUACUAGGCUUAUACUGACGCUGAGGCACGAAAGUGUGGGGAUCAAACAGG